UACGUAGGGAGCAAGCGUUGUCCGGAAUCAUUGGGCGUAAAGCGCGCGUAGGUGGCUUCGUAAGUCCGGUGUGAAAGUCAAAGGCUCAACCUUUGAAAGCCGAUGGAUACUGCGGAGCUAGAGUACGGAAGAGGCGAGUGGAAUUCCUGGUGUAGCGGUGGAAUGCGCAGAUAUCAGGAGGAACACCAAUAGCGAAGGCAGCUCGCUGGGACGUUACUGACACUGAGGCGCGAAAGCGUGGGGAGCAAACAGG
RNAcentral lists this ribosomal RNA (253 nucleotides) under uncultured bacterium. RNAcentral describes it as "partial 16S ribosomal RNA". It matches the Rfam family "Bacterial small subunit ribosomal RNA", at positions 524 to 776 of the family's 1533-position model. The record is from RNAcentral.